GCCCGAGUGAUGAAAUUGGUAGACAUACGGGACUUAAAAUCCCGGGAACGCAAGUUCGUGCCGGUUCAAGUCCGGCCUCGGGCA
Molecule: transfer RNA, 84 nt
Filed under: Spirochaetia bacterium
Lineage: Bacteria; Pseudomonadati; Spirochaetota; Spirochaetia
Description: tRNA-Leu
Rfam family: tRNA
About the family: Transfer RNA (tRNA) molecules are approximately 80 nucleotides in length. Their secondary structure includes four short double-helical elements and three loops (D, anti-codon, and T loops).
Source: RNAcentral